CGAAGAUUGACACUCGUAUGACCUAAAUAAAGUUCCCGCGAAGGGCGGGGUUAGACGGGCCUCGGCCUCCGGACCAUCCUUGAGCGGCAGGCGGGCGGUGGUCAAGGAUGUUUCCAAGUGCCAUGUUUGCAUGGAAUAGCAACAUCAUUUGGUCCAUGAUGUGCAAACCUUUAAUAUUCCUUCGUACCUACCUGGUUGCCAUUACCUUGGAGGCUGGCAAUUUUUUUUUGUACUUUGUACAAAGAAGUUGCGCACCUGAAUUCUCCCCGACUUGAAUGGCAGGUUAAAUUGUUGUGGGACGUGCAAUAAUCCCAAUUAAUUUCCCCCAAGUUAAUAUGAAGUACAGCCACACACCAAUAUUUAGUGGUUUGCACAAUUAUAAACAUACAUGUACAAAGCCUGGGCUAUUGCUUCAUCCCUCGUUUCCAAAAAAAAUGCUUUCACAAUUUAUGUUGAAGUCAAUUUACAAAUUUCCAACACCGGUUGUGAAGUGAUCUCUGGCCACCCGUUGCCACAGUCACUGCUCUUCAAUACAUCUGCCCCAAGGGCUGGAAAUUAAUUUAUCUCUCCUCUUUUCACUGUAUGUAUGGCACGACCCAGUUCCAGCGAAAGGUCAUUGAACUAAAGCGUUAUUCCUGUCUCCGCAGAGGCUGCCUCACCUGGUCAUUAUUUGCAGCAUUUUAGUUUGUUUCCCUCUAUCUUGCUGUUUCCCGUCUCCCUCUCAUUGUACUUUCCAAAACUACAUUACCGAUCAAGCUUCAGGCUUUUCCAAAUUUGUCCAAUCAUGAAACAGGACUUGGAACUGAGUAAAGUCCGAUCUUGUGUUUCUUGUGCUCCAGAAUGUGUUCACGGUUUUGAAAUUCAUCAUUUCAGCAGAAUCCAGACACAAGGAACUUUGUGCCCAGGCCAAAGCUUCAGAUAAUGUAAGUCUCUGUGGAUUUGUGUGCGUGUUCUCAUUACUGAACUACAUUGAUGUUGCCCUGUGGGCUCCGAGUGGAUUUAAUAGAAACCUAUGCAUUACAGCUUUCCAAAUAUGAGAGAAAUGCCAAUAAAGGAUUUCAUAUUAAAAAGGAACGCUCA
Long non-coding RNA from Carcharodon carcharias (great white shark), 1080 nucleotides. RefSeq lists it as uncharacterized. The transcript has 2 exons. The record is from RefSeq and is a predicted model, not a curated record. NCBI's taxonomy places the organism in Eukaryota, Metazoa, Chordata, Chondrichthyes, Lamniformes, Lamnidae.